RNAcentral lists this ribosomal RNA (293 nucleotides) under uncultured bacterium. Its description in RNAcentral is "partial 16S ribosomal RNA". It matches the Rfam family "Archaeal small subunit ribosomal RNA", at positions 455 to 747 of the family's 1478-position model. The record is from RNAcentral.
GUGCCAGCCGCCGCGGUAAUACCGGCAGCUCAAGUGAUGGCCGCUCUUAUUGGGCCUAAAGCGUCCGUAGCUGGCCGCGUAAGUCCGUCGGGAAAUCCAUCAGCCCAACUGAUGGGCGUCCGGCGGAAACUGCACGGCUUGGGACCGGAAGACUCGAGAGGUACGUCCGGGGUAGGAGUGAAAUCCCAUAAUCCCGCACGGACCACCGAUGGCGAAAGCACUUCGAGAAAACGGAUCCGACAGUGAGGGACGAAAGCCAAGGUCUCCAACCGGAUUAGAAACCCGGGUAGUCC